This 999-nucleotide long non-coding RNA is filed under the name Dasypus novemcinctus (nine-banded armadillo). RNAcentral describes it as "lncRNA (ENSDNOG00000052709.1)". Lineage: Eukaryota; Metazoa; Chordata; Mammalia; Cingulata; Dasypodidae. The record is from RNAcentral.
AUGCCGCGGGCGCCUCGCGGCAGAGGUCGCCGUCACGCGGGCGGCGCCUGGGAUUGUGUCGGAGUUCGGCCGCUGCCGCCGCGGGGUGCAACCGGGAGUUGUGAAGCUGAGAGAAUACCGAGAGGCUCUCCUGUCGUUGACUGUCGACGAUUUAAAACCCCGCUAGAAUUUUCAUUAAAAACUGUAUUCCAUGGAAAUCCACAUUUCUCCGGAAUGCCACUUGAAUUUCCUGGAGGAAAGUUUGCUCAGGAAUCCUUGUCUGCUUUUAUCAUUUUGGUGGUGUGCACGAACCCGGUACUGAAAGGAACGAUUCCAAGUGCGACAGCAUUCCACAAUCUCCAAAAAAAAUUAAAGAUAAAAAAUGGGCUGUUUUUCCUUUUGCUUUUAGAAUUCAUCUUGUAAAGGACUUGUGUCCCACAAGAGAUAAACAAUAUGAUGAUAAUACCUUAUCAUAAAUUUUGCACAGAAAAUCAAGCAUUUGAGAAUAAGGAAGGAUGUCCUCGAUAUUGGUUAUGAUCAUAGACUUUGAAGUCUGAGCUGGAUUUGAAUUCCUAUACUGUUCACUGUGUGCCUUUGGCAAGUUACCUCAUCUCUCUGAGACCAUCUCCUCAUCUGUAAAGUGGAGUUCAUAGGGUCGUUUAUAGUAUUAAAUGGGAUAGAUUAAGGACUCAGUAAAUGGAAACUAUUGUUAUUGAUUUGGCCUCUUUCCUCUUUACUAAUAUUAAAGGAGUUGCUACUUGAUUUUGGUAAUUGAAAUAGAAAGGAAUAAAAUUCACCUAUAAUUCCACAACUUCAACAAAUCAAAAUGUUUUGAGUUUUAUAUAGUCUCUGUCACCCCUUUGCCAUAGGUAUACAUUGUGUAUAUGUAAUAAUUUUUUAAUGAAAAGUCAAAUUUAAAACAUUUGUUAACUUAUGAGGGGUUUGUUUUAACCAUGUGUAUAUAGGGCUUUUCUUUUUUUCUUUUGCAUUUUAAUUAGAUUGUAUUUAUUUUAGAUAAAU